Molecule: ribosomal RNA, 253 nt
Filed under: uncultured bacterium
Lineage: Bacteria
Description: partial 16S ribosomal RNA
Rfam family: Bacterial small subunit ribosomal RNA
Source: RNAcentral
UACGUAGGGCGCAAGCGUUGUCCGGAAUUAUUGGGCGUAAAGAGCUCGUAGGCGGCUUGUCGCGUCUGUUGUGAAAGCCCGGGGCUUAACCCCGGGUCUGCAGUGGAUACGGGCAGGCUAGAGGCAGGUAGGGGAGAACGGAAUUCCCGGUGUAGCGGUGAAAUGCGCAGAUAUCAGGAGGAACACCGAUGGCGAAGGCAGGUCUCUGGGCAUUAACUGACGCUGAGGAGCGAAAGCAUGGGGAGCGAACAGG